UGGAGCAAGAAUUAAAAGCCAGAAGCUCUGACUCCCAGCUCUGCAUUACUUCCAUGAGGCCAGCUAUCGGAUAUAUUGCCAGUGAUGCUAUGAGUAGAAUUAAAAUCACCAACCGGGUUUUGGGAAGAAAGGUCGUGCGGGAGUGAAGACAAGGAACAAUCCUUCUGGGCUCCAAAGGGAUGUUAAUUCCUGGGAUCCAACACUGGUCUGGGGAAAAGAAAUUAAAUAACGUUUGACUGACAUGAAGGCAAGAAGAGAGACCAUCAUUUCCUCCUCAUCCUGAUCCGCGUGUCCCACACCACCAAGACAGUGCCAGGAAAAUCACCAACCAGAGUUUGAGAAGAAAGUCCAUGUGGGAGUGAUGACAAGGAACAAUCCUUCUGGGCUCCAAGGGGAUAUUUAUUCCUGGGAUCCACCACUGAUCUGAGGGGUGAACAAUCUGUGAUUUUUAUGUGCCGCAUGGAUGUGUGUUUUGGGGAGAUUCGCUGUGCCCUUGUUAAUCUAGGCAGGAAUCGAUUUGAUCAUCAUAACCAAGGAGGGUCAAAUUGGAGGAGGGAAGUAUGAGGAGGGAAAGAAACAUAUUGUUUACUUUGUGUCCGGUUGGUCGUGGCAAUUCUAUCUUGUUGUUUCCAGCCUAAAACUGAAUGCUCUUUUGAAUGUUUUUGUACUUCUAGAAAAGAAAUUAAAUCACUUUUGACUGACAU
Molecule: long non-coding RNA, 704 nt
Organism: Tachyglossus aculeatus (Australian echidna)
Lineage: Eukaryota; Metazoa; Chordata; Mammalia; Monotremata; Tachyglossidae
Exons: 4
Source: RefSeq, a predicted model, not a curated record